This 429-nucleotide ribosomal RNA is filed under the name Acidobacteriota bacterium. RNAcentral's name for it is "Acidobacteria bacterium partial 16S ribosomal RNA". It matches the Rfam family "Bacterial small subunit ribosomal RNA", at positions 355 to 776 of the family's 1533-position model. The record is from RNAcentral. Lineage: Bacteria; Pseudomonadati; Acidobacteriota.
UAGGGAAUCUUCGGCAAUGGACGAAAGUCUGACCGAGCAACGCCGCGUGAGUGAAGAAGGUUUUCGGAUCGUAAAACUCUGUUGUUAGAGAAGAACAAGGACGUUAGUAACUGAACGUCCCCUGACGGUAUCUAACCAGAAAGCCACGGCUAACUACGUGCCAGCAGCCGCGGUAAUACGUAGGUGGCAAGCGUUGUCCGGAUUUAUUGGGCGUAAAGCGAGCGCAGGCGGUUUCUUAAGUCUGAUGUGAAAGCCCCCGGCUCAACCGGGGAGGGUCAGUGGAAACUGGGAGAGUUGAGUGCAGAAGAGGGGAGUGGAAUUCCAUGUGUAGCGGUGAAAUGCGUAGAUAUAUGGAGGAACACCAGUGGCGAAGGCGGCUCUCUGGUCUGUAACUGACGCUGAGGCACGAAAGCGUGGGGAGCAAACAGG